AGAGUUUGAUCAUGGCUCAGGACGAACGCUGGCGGCGUGCCUAAAACAUGCAAGUCGAACGAACUAGCAAUAGUUAGUGGCGAACGGCGGAGUAAUACAUAAGUAACGUGCCCUAAAGACCGGGACAAACGCAGAAAUGUUAUGAAUACCGGAUAUGGCCGAUUCUUGGCAUCAAGAGUCGAUUAAAUGGUUUUUCGCUUUAGGAGCGGCUUAUGACACAUCAGGUAGUUGGUGGGGUAAUGGCCUACCAAGCCGACGACGUGUAGGGGGUCUGAGAGGAUGAUCCCCCCNNCGACGACGGGUAGCGGGUCUGAGAGGACGACCCGCUCGAGUGGGACUGAGACACGGCCCACACACCUACGGGUGGCAGCAGUUGGGAAUCUUGCACAAUGGGGGAAACCCUGAUGCAGCGACGCCGCGUGGAGGAUGACGGAUCUAGGUCUGUAAACUCCUUUUUCAGGGAAAGACUUAGGACGGUACCCUGAGAAUAAGCUCCGGCUAACUACGUGCCAGCAGCCGCGGUAAGACGUAGGGAGCAAGCGUUGUCCGGAUUUACUGGGCGUAAAGGGCGCGUAGGCGGUCUGUUAAGUGAGUACUAAAAUCUCCAGGGCUCAACCCGGAAACCGGUUCUCAUACUGACAGACUGGAGGAAGGCAGAGGUAACUGGAAUUCCUGGUGUAGCGGUGAAAUGCGUUGAUAUCAGGAGGAACUCCAAUGGCGAAGGCAGGUUACUGGGCCUUAUCUGACGCUGAGGCGCGAAAGCGUGGGUAGCAAACAGGAUUAGAUACCCUGGUAGUCCACGCCCUAAACGAUGGAUGCUAGUCGUGAGAGGUAUCGACCCCUCUUGUGACGCAGCUAACGCAUUAAGCAUCCCGCCUGGGGAGUACGGCCGCAAGGUUGAAACUCAAAUGAAUUGACGGGGACCCGCACAAGCGGUGGAGCAUGUGGAUUAAUUCGAUACUAACCGAAGAACCUUACCCAGGUUUGACAUCGAUCGAAAAGCGUAGAGAUACGCUCCUGAACCACAAGUUCACGUGAAGACAGAUGUUGCAUGGCUGUCGUCAGCUCGUGCCGUGAGGUGUACGGUUAAGUCCGCCAACGAGCGCAACCCUCGUCGUGUGUUACCAGCGAGUAAAGUCGGGGACUCACACGAGACCGCCGGUGUAAGCCGGAGGAAGGUGAGGAUGACGUCAAGUCAGCAUGGCUCUUACGCCUGGGGCUUCACACAUGCUACAAUGGGCGAAACAAACGGCAGCAAUACCGCGAGGUGGAGCAAAUCCGAAAAAUACGCCCCCAGUUCAGAUUGUAGUCUGCAACUCGACUACAUGAAGGCGGAAUCGCUAGUAAACGCAGGUCAGAUAUACUGCGUUGAAUACGUUCCCGGGUCUUGUACACACCGCCCGUCAAGUCACCUGAAUCGUCUUCACCCGAAGUCCGUGGCCUAACCGUAAGGAGGGAGCGGCCGAAGGUGAUGGGGGUAAGGGGGACUAAGUCGUAACAAGGUACCCGUACCGGAAGGUGUGGGUG
This 1527-nucleotide ribosomal RNA is filed under the name groundwater metagenome. RNAcentral describes it as "bacterial SSU rRNA". It matches the Rfam family "Bacterial small subunit ribosomal RNA". The record is from RNAcentral.